Molecule: transfer RNA, 89 nt
Filed under: Oreochromis niloticus (Nile tilapia)
Lineage: Eukaryota; Metazoa; Chordata; Actinopteri; Cichliformes; Cichlidae
Also listed under: 1 other name
Rfam family: tRNA
About the family: Transfer RNA (tRNA) molecules are approximately 80 nucleotides in length. Their secondary structure includes four short double-helical elements and three loops (D, anti-codon, and T loops). Further hydrogen bonds mediate the characteristic L-shaped molecular structure. tRNAs have two regions of fundamental functional importance: the anti-codon, which is responsible for specific mRNA codon recognition, and the 3' end, to which the tRNAs corresponding amino acid is attached (by aminoacyl-tRNA synthetases). tRNAs cope with the degeneracy of the genetic code in two manners: having more than one tRNA (with a specific anti-codon) for a particular amino acid; and 'wobble' base-pairing, i.e. permitting non-standard base-pairing at the 3rd anti-codon position.
Source: Rfam by way of RNAcentral
CCUUCGAUAUCUCAGUUGGUAGAGCGGAGGACUGUAGGUGUAUGGGAACAGGAAUCCUUAGGUUGCUGAUUCAACUCCGGCCCGAAGGA